CCUACGGGUGGCAGCAGUGGGGAAUAUUGCACAAUGGGGGAAACCCUGAUGCAGCGAAGCCGCGUGAGUGAAGAAGUAAUUCGUUAUGUAAAGCCCUAUCAGCAGGGAAGAAAAUGACGGUACCUGAGUAAGAAGCCCCUGCUAAAUACGUGCCAGCAGCCGCGGUAAUACGUCGGCGGCCAGCGUUAUCCGGAUUUUAUGGGUGUAAAGGGAGCUUAGACGGCUGUGCAAGUCUGGAGUAAAAGGCGGGGGCUCAACCGGGUGCCGCACUCAAAACUGCAGUUCUUGAGUGAAGUAGAGGCAGGCGGAAUGCCCAGUGUAGCGGUGAAAUGCGUAGAUAUUAGGAGGAACACCAGUGGCGAAGGCGGCCUGCUGGGCUUUUACUGACGCUGAGGCUCGAAAGUGUGGGGAGCAAACAGGAUUAGAGACCCUUGUAGUC
This 439-nucleotide ribosomal RNA is filed under the name uncultured bacterium. RNAcentral describes it as "partial 16S ribosomal RNA". It matches the Rfam family "Bacterial small subunit ribosomal RNA", at positions 338 to 795 of the family's 1533-position model. The record is from RNAcentral.